ACUUUUAACAACGGAUCUCUUGGUUCUGGCAUCGAUGAAGAACGCAGCGAAUAAGUAAUGUGCAGAAUUCAGUGAAUCAUCGAAUCUUUGAACGCACAUUGCGCCCGCCAGCAUUCUGGCGGGCAUGCCUGUUCGAGCGUCAUUUCAACCCUCAAGCUCUGCUUGGUGUUGGGGCUCUACGGUUGACGUAGGCCCUUAAAGGUAGUGGCGGACCCUCUCGGAGCCUCCUUUGCGUAGUAACAUUUCGUCUCGCAUUGGGAUUCGGAGGGACUCUAGCCGUAAAACCCCCAAUUUUACUAAGGUUGACCUCGGAUCAGGUAGGAAUACCCGCUGAACUUAAGCAUAUCAAUAAGCGGAGGAAAAGAAACCAACAGGGAUUGCCCCAGUAACGGCGAGUGAAGCGGCAACAGCUCAAAUUUGAAAUCUGGCCCUAGGCCCGAGUUGUAAUUUGCAGAGGAUGCUUUUGGCGCGGUGCCUUCCGAGUUCCCUGGAACGGGACGCCAUAGAGGGUGAGAGCCCCGUACGGUUGGACACCAAGUCUUUGUAAAGCUCCUUCGACGAGUCGAGUAGUUUGGGAAUGCUGCUCAAAAUGGGAGGUAUAUUUCUUCUAAAGCUAAAUAUUGGCCAGAGACCGAUAGCGCACAAGUAGAGUGAUCGAAAGAUGAAAAGCACUUUGAAAAGAGGGUUAAACAGCACGUGAAAUUGUUAAAAGGGAAGCGCUUGUGACCAGACUUGCGUCCGGUGAAUCACCCAGCUCUCGCGGCUGGGGCAUUUUGCCGGCUCAGGCCAGCAUCAGCUUGCCGUCGGGGACAAAAGCUUCGGGAACGUAGCUCUCUUCGGGGAGUGUUAUAGCCCGUUGCAUAAUACCCUUCGGUGGGCUGAGGUACGCGCUCCGCAAGGAUGCUGGCGUAAUGGUCAUCAGCGACCCGUCUUGAAACACGGACCAAGGAGUCAACCUUAUGUGCGAGUGUUUGGGUGUUAAACCCCUACGCGUAAUGAAAGUGAACGCAGGUGAGAGCUUCGGCGCAUCAUCGACCGAUCCUGAUGUUCUCGGAUGGAUUUGAGUAAGAGCAUAUAGGGUUGGACCCGAAAGAAGGUGAACUAUGCGUGUAUAGGGUGAAGCCAGAGGAAACUCUGGUGGAGGCUCGCAGCGGUUCUGACGUGCAAAUCGAUCGUCAAAUAUGCGCAUGGGGGCGAAAGACUAAUCGAACCUUCUAGUAGCUGGUUUCCGCCGAAGUUUCCCUCAGGAUAGCAGUGUUGAACUCAGUUUUAUGAGGUAAAGCGAAUGAUUAGGGACUCGGGGGCGCUAUAUUGCCUUCAUCCAUUCUCAAACUUUAAAUAUGUAAGAAGCCCUUGUUACUUAAUUGAACGUGGGCAUUCGAAUGUAUCAACACUAGUGGGCCAUUUUUGGUAAGCAGAACUGGCGAUGCGGGAUGAACCGAACGCGAGGUUAAGGUGCCAGAGUAGACGCUCAUCAGACACCACAAAAGGUGUUAGUACAUCUUGACAGCAGGACGGUGGCCAUGGAAGUCGGAAUCCGCUAAGGACUGUGUAACAACUCACCUGCCGAAUGUACUAGCCCUGAAAAUGGAUGGCGCUCAAGCGUCUCACCCAUACCUCGCCCUCAGUGUAGAAACGAUGCGCUGAGGAGUAGGCGGACGUGGAGGUCAGUGACGAAGCCUAGGGCGUGAGCCCGGGUAGAACGGCCUCUAGUGCAGAUCUUGGUGGUAGUAGCAAAUACUUCAAUGAGAACUUGAAGGACCGAAGUGGGGAAAGGUUCCAUGUGAACAGCGGUUGGACAUGGGUUAGUCGAUCCUAAGCCAUAGGGAAGUUCCGUUUCAAAGGGGCACUUGUGCCCCGUAUGGCGAAAGGGAAGCCGGUCAAUAUUCCGGCACCUGGAUGUGGGUUUUGCGCGGUAACGCAACUGAACGCGGAGACGACGGCGGGGGCCCCGGGCAGAGUUCUCUUUUCUUCUUAACGGUCUAUCACCCUGAAAUCGGUUUGUCCGGAGCUAGGGUUUAACGGCCGGAAGAGCCCAGCACUUCUGUUGGGUCCGGUGCGCUCUCGACGUCCCUUGAAAAUCCGCGGGAAGGAAUAAUUCUCACGCCAGGUCGU
RNAcentral lists this ribosomal RNA (2115 nucleotides) under Colletotrichum gloeosporioides. RNAcentral describes it as "eukaryotic LSU rRNA". The stretch from base 304 to 2115 matches the Rfam family "Eukaryotic large subunit ribosomal RNA", at positions 1 to 1845 of the family's 3401-position model. The record is from RNAcentral. Lineage: Eukaryota; Fungi; Ascomycota; Sordariomycetes; Glomerellales; Glomerellaceae.